UGUUAAAACUUUCAUCUAUUUGUACUAUUAAAAAUUGAUAUGACUAUCGAAAUAAUUAGACAAUAAGAUGUGAUGUGCCAUGUAUAUUUCAUGCUGAUAUACAAAGACCAAUAUUUAACAAUAAAAAUGAAUGAAAAUUUUAACA
Molecule: non-coding RNA, 145 nt
Organism: Gossypium hirsutum (cotton)
Lineage: Eukaryota; Viridiplantae; Streptophyta; Magnoliopsida; Malvales; Malvaceae
Source: Rfam